CAACCCUCAAGCCCUGCUUGGUGUUGGGGUCCUACGGCUCUCCCGCCGUAGGCCCCUAAAUAUAGUGGCGGGCUCGCUAAAGUCCUGAGCGCAGUAGCACAUCUCGCUUGUGGUAUUUAGUGGGUGCCGGCCGUUAAACCCCCAAUUUUUAGAA
Molecule: unclassified non-coding RNA, 154 nt
Filed under: uncultured Vermiculariopsiella
Lineage: Eukaryota; Fungi; Ascomycota; Sordariomycetes; Sordariales; Helminthosphaeriaceae
Description: sequence contains ITS2
Source: RNAcentral